This 622-nucleotide ribosomal RNA is filed under the name uncultured Lachnospiraceae bacterium. Its description in RNAcentral is "bacterial SSU rRNA". It matches the Rfam family "Bacterial small subunit ribosomal RNA", at positions 71 to 704 of the family's 1533-position model. The record is from RNAcentral. Lineage: Bacteria; Bacillati; Bacillota; Clostridia; Lachnospirales; Lachnospiraceae.
UUUCUUCGGAACUGAAGAUUUGGUGAUUGAGUGGCGGACGGGUGAGUAACGCGUGGGUAACCUACCCUGUACAGGGGGAUAACAGUCAGAAAUGACUGCUAAUACCGCAUAAGACCACAGCACCGCAUGGUGCAGGGGUAAAAACUCCGGUGGUACAGGAUGGACCCGCGUCUGAUUAGCUGGUUGGUGAGGUAACGGCUCACCAAGGCGACGAUCAGUAGCCGGCUUGAGAGAGUGAACGGCCACAUUGGGACUGAGACACGGCCCAAACUCCUACGGGAGGCAGCAGUGGGGAAUAUUGCACAAUGGGGGAAACCCUGAUGCAGCGACGCCGCGUGAGUGAAGAAGUAUCUCGGUAUGUAAAGCUCUAUCAGCAGGGAAGAAAAUGACGGUACCUGACUAAGAAGCCCCGGCUAACUACGUGCCAGCAGCCGCGGUAAUACGUAGGGGGCAAGCGUUAUCCGGAAUUACUGGGUGUAAAGGGUGCGUAGGUGGUAUGGCAAGUCAGAAGUGAAAACCCCAGGGCUUAACUCUGGGACUGCUUUUGAAACUGUCAGACUGGAGUGCAGGAGAGGUAAGCGGAAUUCCUAGUGUAGCGGUGAAAUGCGUAGAUAUUAGGAGG